UGUGUGUGUGUGUGUGUGUGUGUGUGUGUGUGUGUGUGUGUGUGUGUGUGUGUGUGUGUGUGUGUGUGGUGAUGCAGAGCGCUGAGAGUGAACUGGAACAUGUGGAAAGAUGAGGAAUGAAAUUGAAAGCGCAAAAUCCUGUGUGUGUGUGUGUGUGGUUUCACUGUAAAUCAGUUUUCAUUGAUUAAACAUCAUUCUCCGUCUCA
Molecule: long non-coding RNA, 206 nt
Organism: Tachysurus fulvidraco (yellow catfish)
Lineage: Eukaryota; Metazoa; Chordata; Actinopteri; Siluriformes; Bagridae
Exons: 2
Source: RefSeq, a predicted model, not a curated record